This 761-nucleotide ribosomal RNA is filed under the name Mecodema fulgidum. RNAcentral's name for it is "partial 16S ribosomal RNA". The stretch from base 1 to 581 matches the Rfam family "Bacterial large subunit ribosomal RNA", at positions 1830 to 2925 of the family's 2925-position model. The record is from RNAcentral. Lineage: Eukaryota; Metazoa; Arthropoda; Insecta; Coleoptera; Carabidae.
GUCCUUUUGUUUUAUAUUUAAGGUUUAACCUGCCCACUGAAUAAUUUAAAUGGCCGCAGUAUUUUAACUGUGCAAAGGUAGCAUAAUCAUUAGUUUUUUAAUUAAAAGCUUGUAUGAAAGGUUGGACGAGGUAAAAACUGUCUUUAUUUAAUUAAUUAUAAAAUUUAAUUUUUAAGUUAAAAAGCUUAAAUUUUUUUAAAAGACGAGAAGACCCUAUAGAUCUUUAUAUUUAUUAUUUUAUUUUUAAUUAAGAUUUAUUUAAAUUUUAUUAUAUUAAAUAUUUUAUUGGGGUAAUAAGAAGAUUAGAAAAAUUCUUUUAUAUAUUAUUCAUUGAUUAAUGUUUUAAUGAUCCAAUUUUAUUGAUUAUAAGAUUAAGUUACCUUAGGGAUAACAGCGUAAUUUUUUUAGAGAGUUCAUAUCGAUAAUAAAGUUUGCGACCUCGAUGUUGGAUUAAAGAUUAAUUUAGGUGUAGAUGUUUAAAUUUUUGGUCUGUUCGACCAUUAAAUCUUUACAUGAUCUGAGUUCAGACCGGUGUAAGCCAGGUCGGUUUCUAUCUUUAAUAAAAUAGUAUAUUUUAGUACGAAAGGACCAAAUAUAUAAUAUAUAAAUAUUUAUUAAUUUUUGAAUAUUAUUAAUUGCUUUGGCAGAUUAGUGCAAUGAAUUUAGAAUUCAUAUAUGUAAAUUUUUACAAGUAAUACUUGUUUUAUAUAGAUAUAAUAUUUUCUUUUAUUUGUAUAUUAUUAUUAGUUAUUUGUGUAUUA